Long non-coding RNA from Labrus mixtus (cuckoo wrasse), 932 nucleotides. RefSeq lists it as uncharacterized. The transcript is spliced from 2 exons. NCBI's taxonomy places the organism in Eukaryota, Metazoa, Chordata, Actinopteri, Labriformes, Labridae. The record is from RefSeq and is a predicted model, not a curated record.
UUCAUUAUAAAAAGUCAAUGAGUGUGACAUCAGAAGCAGCAGGUCUGUGGGUUCACUGGUUAUUGUUGAGUGUUUUUGUCCCAUUUUCCGCUAUCAGAGAGCCGAGGAAGUGAGCCUGAUAAGAGGGCUGAUUAGUUUAUGGAUCUGUGUGUGUGUGUGUGUGUGUGUGUGUGUGUGUGUGUGUGUGUGUGUGUGUGUGCUCGCUAUGACAUGUGAAGCCUUCAGCAGUCGCUCCGUGUUUGGAACAGCCCUCUGUGCAGACUUAAUCACAUUUCUUGUUGCCAGCUGGCCCGGGGCUCUCGGUGUGGUAGUUAACGAGGUCCUCAGCUAACCUGGAAGGUCAGAGGCGGGCGUCACCAUGGAGGCGAGCCGACGCUCUGCUCACUCUGCUGCUGUUCAACCCACUGCUUAUAAAUCCACAUGAUACACUCUGUAAUCUGUUUUUAAUUGAAGCUAUUUGAGAUAACAGUUUCAUGGGAACAAUCUGUCAAUAACACAAUAAGGUUGUGUGAAAAUCGAACCCAAAAUAUUUGUAGAUGAGUUUUUUGAUUUAAAAUAUCACCAGGCUGUAAACACUUUUAUUUCUGUUGUAAAAGUUGUCAGUUUAAAUUUGGGACUUGAUGGGGAUCCCUCAGUUUGUGCAGCAAGCAUCUAGUGGACGCUCGAGGAAGUGUUGUUUUUUGCACUUCCUCCUUGGCUUCAUCUUUUUAGCAACAGAAGUUGCUGCUUGCUUUCAAGCAAUGUUUUUUAAAUGUUCGGUUUCUGUGGAUAUUUGGCGCCCUCUGUGGACAAACUAUGGAUUACAUAUGGAUGCAGUAACCCUUAAAGGGGACAUAUUAUGAAUAAUCCACUUUCACAGUGUUUUUGAACAUAUAUCUGGGUAACCUGAGUGUCUACCGACCCACAAAAUGUGAAAUAAACUCAUCCAGUCC